RNAcentral lists this ribosomal RNA (1545 nucleotides) under Staphylococcus aureus. RNAcentral describes it as "16S ribosomal RNA". It matches the Rfam family "Bacterial small subunit ribosomal RNA". The record is from RNAcentral. Lineage: Bacteria; Bacillati; Bacillota; Bacilli; Caryophanales; Staphylococcaceae.
AGAGUUUGAUCCUGGCUCAGGAUGAACGCUGGCGGCGUGCCUAAUACAUGCAAGUCGAGCGAACGGACGAGAAGCUUGCUUCUCUGAUGUUAGCGGCGGACGGGUGAGUAACACGUGGAUAACCUACCUAUAAGACUGGGAUAACUUCGGGAAACCGGAGCUAAUACCGGAUAAUAUUUUGAACCGCAUGGUUCAAAAGUGAAAGACGGUCUUGCUGUCACUUAUAGAUGGAUCCGCGCUGCAUUAGCUAGUUGGUAAGGUAACGGCUUACCAAGGCAACGAUGCAUAGCCGACCUGAGAGGGUGAUCGGCCACACUGGAACUGAGACACGGUCCAGACUCCUACGGGAGGCAGCAGUAGGGAAUCUUCCGCAAUGGGCGAAAGCCUGACGGAGCAACGCCGCGUGAGUGAUGAAGGUCUUCGGAUCGUAAAACUCUGUUAUUAGGGAAGAACAUAUGUGUAAGUAACUGUGCACAUCUUGACGGUACCUAAUCAGAAAGCCACGGCUAACUACGUGCCAGCAGCCGCGGUAAUACGUAGGUGGCAAGCGUUAUCCGGAAUUAUUGGGCGUAAAGCGCGCGUAGGCGGUUUUUUAAGUCUGAUGUGAAAGCCCACGGCUCAACCGUGGAGGGUCAUUGGAAACUGGAAAACUUGAGUGCAGAAGAGGAAAGUGGAAUUCCAUGUGUAGCGGUGAAAUGCGCAGAGAUAUGGAGGAACACCAGUGGCGAAGGCGACUUUCUGGUCUGUAACUGACGCUGAUGUGCGAAAGCGUGGGGAUCAAACAGGAUUAGAUACCCUGGUAGUCCACGCCGUAAACGAUGAGUGCUAAGUGUUAGGGGGUUUCCGCCCCUUAGUGCUGCAGCUAACGCAUUAAGCACUCCGCCUGGGGAGUACGACCGCAAGGUUGAAACUCAAAGGAAUUGACGGGGACCCGCACAAGCGGUGGAGCAUGUGGUUUAAUUCGAAGCAACGCGAAGAACCUUACCAAAUCUUGACAUCCUUUGACAACUCUAGAGAUAGAGCCUUCCCCUUCGGGGGACAAAGUGACAGGUGGUGCAUGGUUGUCGUCAGCUCGUGUCGUGAGAUGUUGGGUUAAGUCCCGCAACGAGCGCAACCCUUAAGCUUAGUUGCCAUCAUUAAGUUGGGCACUCUAAGUUGACUGCCGGUGACAAACCGGAGGAAGGUGGGGAUGACGUCAAAUCAUCAUGCCCCUUAUGAUUUGGGCUACACACGUGCUACAAUGGACAAUACAAAGGGCAGCGAAACCGCGAGGUCAAGCAAAUCCCAUAAAGUUGUUCUCAGUUCGGAUUGUAGUCUGCAACUCGACUACAUGAAGCUGGAAUCGCUAGUAAUCGUUGAUCAGCAUGCUACGGUGAAUACGUUCCCGGGUCUUGUACACACCGCCCGUCACACCACGAGAGUUUGUAACACCCGAAGCCGGUGGAGUAACCUUUUAGGAGCUAGCCGUCGAAGGUGGGACAAAUGAUUGGGGUGAAGUCGUAACAAGGUAGCCGUAUCGGAAGGUGCGGCUGGAUCACCUCCUUU